AAUCCAUCAAACAGGCCUGUGUUCCAAUUACUUGUGUGGCAGGCAGUGAAAAGAAAUCUGCAAGGUGGAGGAGAAACCGAUUAAUAAACCCCAUCUGGCUGUCGUGUGUUUAGUCGGGCAAACACAGCGAUAUAAUGACUGUCAAGCCGGUUUUUUUUCUUUGCUGAAAUUAAGCGGCUGUCAAGUGCUUAUCGUCUUGAGUACGGUGGUUUCCAUAUGUCGGCGAUAGCCCAAAUCGCAACAAAUAAAUGUGAACUGAUAACACAGGUCACUGAGGGCCGCAGAGGAAAGGAAAAUGGGCCGCAAGGUCACAAAUUUUGUAAAUUUACAAGCUUUACGACACUUUUCACGCAACGCCAAUUAAUUAAGCCGGCCAUAUGGCCCAAGGUCGAAUGAUUAAAAAUGAAAUUACAGCUUAAAUCAUCAGGUGUGUUCCGGUUUUUAAAUUCGCAAAUACAAAAAUGACUUAAAUAAAUAUCUAAUAGUCACAUUAUUUUCUUAUUUUGAUCAAGUUGCCCAGUACAAAAGUUAAGGCAAUUUAAUUAAAUUAAAUUAAUAAUUUAAUAAUUUUUUUAUAUUUCAUAUAGUAUAGUAUGUAGGAAAGUGAUAAACUUGUGAUAAACAUUUAAGAAAGCCAUAAUAAUAAAUGAUUUACUGGGAAUAUAUGAAGUAACCAUAAAACGGUUGUAAAACUAUUGAUUUACGGUCUUUAAUAGGUUACUAGUUAAGUAAUAACCCUAAUUA
This is a non-coding RNA of Drosophila suzukii, 744 nucleotides long. The record is from RefSeq and is a predicted model, not a curated record. Lineage: Eukaryota; Metazoa; Arthropoda; Insecta; Diptera; Drosophilidae.